This 460-nucleotide ribosomal RNA is filed under the name uncultured bacterium. RNAcentral's name for it is "partial 16S ribosomal RNA". It matches the Rfam family "Bacterial small subunit ribosomal RNA", at positions 338 to 795 of the family's 1533-position model. The record is from RNAcentral.
CCUACGGGUGGCAGCAGUGAGGAAUAUUGGUCAAUGGACGAGAGUCUGAACCAGCCAAGUAGCGUGAAGGAUGACUGCCCUAUGGGUUGUAAACUUCUUUUAUAUGGGAAUAAAAUGUUCCACGUGUGGGAUUUUGUAUGUACCAUAUGAAUAAGGAUAGGCUAACGCCGUGCCAGAAGCCGCGGUAAUACGGAGGAUCCGAGCGUUAUCCGGUUUUAUUGGGUUUAAAGGGAGCGUAGGUGGAUUGUUAAGUCAGUUGUGAAAGUUUGCGGCUCAACCGUAAAAUUGCAGUUGAAACUGGAAGUCUUGAGUACAGUAGAGGUGAGCGGAAUUCGUGGUGUAGCGGUGAAAUGCUUAGAUAUCACGAGGAACACCGGUGGCGAAGGCAGCUCACUGGACUGCAACUGACACUGAGGCUCGAAAGUGUGGGUAUCAAACAGGAUUAGAUACCCGUGUAGUC